AAAUGAGAUGGGUUUAGCUUAAUUAAGUUGGGUCAUUUUCAUAAACCCAAUUUCCCUUGAUUAUCAUAAAUAACAUCCUGGAGAGGCAGACGUUAUUAUCAUUUACAUUUUAUAGAGAGGGAAACUGAGACCCAAAGGUGUAAACACCUUGCCCAAGACCCAAAUAUCACAGAAUUUUCACUGUUCUAUGUUAUGCUAUCCUAUUUCUCUAAUAAAAAAGUAACUUUAAUUGCUAUAAUAUCUUCAGGUAAGGGUUAUUACUGAUUUAACAAUGAUGAACUUUGUUUUAAAGUGUCACAUGAAUGAGAUAAAAUAAAAUACAUUUAAAUUGGAAAGGAUUUAGGCUAGUAGGAAAUUUUUACCAAUAACAGUAUAUGUGAUUGUAGAAUAUUAGGCAGUUAGAAGAAGACAGAGAAUUUUAUUUGAUGAAUUUUAUAAUUGUGUCUUUUCUUCUUUUAAAGAAAAAGGUAUACAAGAAGGACAAAAUUUAGAUAAAAGUUUUCUUGAAGGUAGGAGAAUGAAUUAUUUGACCUACACAAGAUGAAAAUGCUUUUUAAAAAUCAGCCACCACCAGACAUUACUGACUAUUCAUUAUAGCCCACCAGUGUAAGGAGAUGGGCUUUGAUCUCCUUUCUAAGGUCACCAGGCUGGCUCUAAUCCCAGUGCUUUGGGCACCCCUGCUGUGCUCCAUCCUGCAGUUAGGUGUGUUUCCUGGACAAUGGAGUCUGUGGAAACUGCCUGGCCUUGGAACACAUGUGACAAAAAACCUCAAAGUACAUGAGAGCCAGGAUCAUCACCAACUUAAUUUCCCAGCCUUUUCCACAGAGCACAGGCUCCUUUCUUUUUCACAUCUGUGUGUGCCAGGAAAGCAGUGUCUUGCCCAGGAAAACUCACCAGUUGUGCCUCAUUGAUGGUGUUAUUGGAAAAACAAGCAUGAAAUAAAAGAGAGGGAUUCCCUUAGAAUACAAAUACGCUCAUAACACAAUUCAUUAAGCAAUAUCACUUAUUUAUGAUAUUCUCCUAUUAUAUCUAUGUCUGCCUACUUCUAAUUUCAGCAAAAAGGUGUAAAAUUUCCCUACAUUUUCUUAUUUGUGACAAGUACUGAGUUUAAAAUGGUAGUGCAAAACUGACAUUGAUAGAUUCUACUUUGACGUUAGGUUCAAAUUCAGUUUGGAGAAUGCAUUUCCCCUACUUGAGGUGAUAUGGUUUGGCUGUGUUCCACUCAAACCUCAUCUUGAAUUCUAACUCCCACAAUUCCCAUGUGUUGUGGGAGGAACCUGGUGGGAGGUAGUUGAAUUAUGGGGAUGGGUCUUUCCCAUGCUGUUCUUGUGACAGUGAAUGGGUCUCACUAGAUCUGAUGGUUUUAAAAACAGUUUCCCUGCACAAGCUCUCUCUUUGACUGCCACCAUCCAUGUAAGAUGUGACUUGCUCUUCCUUGCCUCCUGCCCUGAUUGUGACGCCUCCCCAGCCAUGUGGAACUCAGAGGAAGCUCCGUUUAGAAAUAGCUCCUUGGUCACAUGCUGGACAAACAUGGAACAGCCUAUGGAACAGAACAAUCAUAUCUCUAUAUAAUGUGCAUUGGUUUCUUUGACUUGCCUGGUGUUGUGAGGAGGGGUCCUCCUUCAGAUUUUCAUCCAGGUCCACGCCAACUCUGUUAAACAAAACCAAAAACUGGUCAAUCCCCUGCUGCAGAAGGAAUGAGACAGUCUUGUGUGUCAGAUGACCUAACCCAAACACAAUGUGAAUCUGAGAAAAGAUUUGGCAGAAAACUAUCCUACGUCUUCUUGAAUCAAAAGAACCUCAGAUUUAUACCAAAAUAAGAACUUGAACAGCUGGGCCUCAGGAUGCUGGAGAAAUUAAGCAUCAACAGCAGCUCUUCACUACUGUCGUUCCUGGCAAGCAGCAAUCAGAGCAGACAUUCCUGCACAACUAGAUGGGGCAGAGGAAGUGAUGAAAUUCUUUCAUUUGAUGGGGACUCAGUGGAAGGCAUCUCAGAGACCUGACUGGGAAGAAGACUGUACCUCCUCCCACAUCUCAUCUCAGGGCAGGUCCAGAGCAGGACAAACGCCACAAGUGGCUUGAGGAAAGAGAACCUCCAUGAAAGGUGUUUCCCUCCUGGGGAAGCCAGGGUGAACACGGUCCUUGCCCACACAGGGCAUACGAUUCGGGAGGUUCAAUGAGGAUAAUAUAAAAAAUGUACCACAGCUUAAGGGCCAUGAAGGAAACAAUGCCUUCUUUCACUUGUGAUAUUAGCUGCUUUUGAGGAAAAUCUGGCUAAUAUAUGUUUCUUGGCUACCUGCCUCCUUAAAUAGUGUGUAAGGGGGAUAUUCUAAUCUUAACUGGAGGACUCAGCAUUGCAACUGGUCCCAUAAAGUCUGACACUUGCUUCUUUAUAAUGAUUUCCAAGAGGUGUAUGAACCUUUUUAUGAUCACGUUAAAUGGUCCCUGACUACUGUCUUUUUUUUUCAAAUUAUUGUAUCUGCCAGUUAGAUUGCCUUUAUUUUUCCUGACUGUAACAAUAUGUUGACAUAUUGUCCCUAUGACCCCCACCCCUUUAAUUUACUGUAGGACUAACCCUGACAGUCAAAUUUAUUUUUAUUUUCAUUUUCUAUCUAUCUAUCUAAUUUAAAUAUUAUAGAAAGGCUUACAAUCACACACAAUUGUUCUCAUAAUACCCUUGCACCCCUUCAGACCAACUCCCAUUGCCUUGGAGGGCAAUUUUCUGCCUUUUCUCAAUUGUGAUAUAUAAGCUGACAUAGACAUGCAUGGCACCUUCACACAGCAUCCCAAGGGGUAUGCAAACAUGCCAACUACAUCUGUAUCUCUUACUCUCCUCUUCAAGAAAGCAAGUCAGAAUAUGGAACUGACAUUAUUUUAGGGCUAACCAUGUAUCCAUUCACUUUAAACAAAUUUUUACAGCUCUUUUUAAUGCAUGAGCAUCCACUUUUGUGCACAAAAGAUCAUUUAUACGUAAUGAGUUUUUGAGAGAUUAGAAAGAAGACAUAAUAUUGUCCCAGUUUGUGGUGUUACAUGUAUAUAGCAGCCCCCCAGGUGAGAUCACAGUAUGAAGUCCAACCUCCUUAGGUGACAUCCAAGGGUCUUUAGCACCUCUCCCUCAAUGUUAAGCUAGCCACCCUUUCUGCUCACCUGAUCUGGACAGUGUCCUGGGUCCGGUAACUGGACUUGUCCUUGUUUCUGAGCCCCAGCACCAAAUACAGUCCCUGAGCUCUGGCCAUACAAUAAUCUGCCAGUUUCUCUCCCAUGGACUGGACCCCCUCCCUCCAAACUCCAGGCUGGUAUUUUGGGCCACGCUGGCUACCACUGAACUUGUGCGAUACCCUGCCUUCUUUCCUGAACUCCAAGCACUGUCCUCCCUUCUGUCUGAUCACCACCUUGUCCCAUCCACCACGAUGCCCUUCCUAGGUCUCAGAUCUCCCAUCACUAGAAGUUACUGAGACUUGGAGUGAAGUAGCUGUACUCCUCCUACUCUGCUCUCUGCUCCCAAAUAGAAUCCCUUCUGGGCACUGGAGAUCACCUUGCUCUGUCUUUGGCGACCCUGGCUCACCCUUUGCUCACCUGUCUGUUUAUACCCAGGCAUGCAGGGCAAGCUCUACAGUAUACAUCGGCCCUAGCUGGAAUCUGAUGACUUCAUGAUUACCCUGUAGUUGUUCAAGGGUCAGUGAAACCCAGAUGUCAAGAGAGUUGUUUGGAGCCAGACUACCUGGGUUGAAAAAUGUGGCUCUGCCUCUCACUUGCUCUGUGACCUGUGUCACUCACUCUGUCUCCAUCUUGGUUUCCUCACCAAUACAAUGGGGAUAAUUAGAGAACUCAUUUCACAGGGUUGUGGUGAGGAUUAAGUAAGAAAAUAGCUUAGGACCUGUUAUAUAGUAAGUUUUUAAGAAUGUUAGCAGCUAUUAUUGAUAUUAUUAUUUUUCAGUACUUAUCAGUGGGGCCAGAGCUCAGUUACUGAUUACUUUCAGAGAUAAGCCCUCCUAGUCCUUGUUUCUGCACUGGACAACCUUUGAAUAUAUAGCAACCACCACAAUUGAGCCACAAGGAGCAGCCAGUGUACAGCAAGGAUUUCUGGUCUCAUAGCAAAACAUUAUUUCUGUUUAAAGAGGGCCAAGUUUCCCAGGUUUUGAUUUUUUUAAAAUUUAUUUCUUUUAUUUUUGAGACACAGUCUCAUUCUGUCACCCAGGCUGGAGUAUAGCGGUAUGUUCUUGGUUCACUGCAACCUCCACCUCCUGGGUUCAAGUGAUUCUUUUGCCUUAGCCCCCUGAGUAGCUGGGAUUAUAGGCGUACGCCACCACACCCAGCUGAUUUUUGUAUUUUCAGUAGAGAUGGGGUUUUGUCAUAUUGCCCAGGCUGUUUUCAAACUCCUGGGCUCAAGUGAUCCAUCCACCUAGGCUUCCCAAAGUGCUGGGAUUACAGGUGUGAGCCACUGUGCCUCGCCUGGUUUGGAAUUAUUUAUAAUUUAUUGGUAGACUAGUUAGGGUAAUAAGGCAACAAAGAAGGAAAAGAAGGUGUCUGAAGAGCAAGGAGAAACAAGGAAGAGGGAAGAGCUGAGCAGAAAGCAAGAAAAGAAAAGGAAGGUGAAAAGGAAAGAUAGAGAAAGAAAUACAUUACUA
This 4628-nucleotide long non-coding RNA is filed under the name Homo sapiens (human). RNAcentral's name for it is "HSALNT0061581". Lineage: Eukaryota; Metazoa; Chordata; Mammalia; Primates; Hominidae. The record is from RNAcentral.